CGCGUGACAUGAAUUAACGCGACUACGGAAAUGGUGGACAAGGUGAAUUUUAGCACAAAAACACGAUAUUUUGUCUAGUAUAGGCCCAGGGUAUAUUCGUGAUGUACGUAUCAACAAAACUACUAAGACAUAACAAAGAACAGACACUUUAGGAGGAAGACGGGAUUGUCAAAAAAGUGAAUUGAAUCAACUAUCAAGUGAAUAUAUGAACGAAGAGAGAGAAAAAAAUUAGACAAUCUUUAACAUUCGGAGGAAGACACAUGAGGCCCCCAUCAAGUUUAGAUGACAAGGUGACCCCCAAGUUACUUAAAUUGGAAGGUUUGAAGAGAACAUACAUCUGUAUCUGUGCUAAUAUGAUUGCUGCAACAGAGCAUGGCCAUGUUGCAAGACAAGAAAAUUACACUGACAUGUAUUUGGAACAUCUUGAAGAGUUCGAAAAAGUAAUCAUGAUUAAAGAAAUCAUUGUAUCUUUAAUAACAAGUUACUGGAUCAAGACAACUUGCAUCAUUCUGAAAUAUUGAUCAUAUUGUACAGAGAAGAUAUGAUCGAAUUACAAUAAGAUGAGGAAGAUGAACCAGAACUACUGUAAUUAUUUUUUCUAAUAUAGGCUGUGUAAUUGAUUAUGUCUAAUAGUUUGCAAGACAAUUAAGAGAAGAUAUACUGGAGUUUAGUUCAACAUUUUUCUGAAUAUUGAGAUAGCAUUAUCACAGUAAAAGAAAAUAUUGAUCAUAUUGUACAGAGAAGAUAUGAUCGAAUUACAAUAAGAUGAGGAAGAUGAACCAGAACUACUGUAAUUAAUUUUUCUAAUAUAGGCUGUGUAAUUGAUUACGUCUAAUAGUUUGCAAGACAAUUAAGAGAAGAUAUACUGGAGUUUAGUUCAACAUUUUUCUAAAUAUUGAGACAGCGUUAUUACAGUAAAAAAAAUAUUGAUCACAUUGUACAGAGAAGAUAUGAUCGAAUUACAAUAAGAGGAGGAGGAUGAACCAGAACAACUAUAAUUAAUUUUUCUAAUAUAGGCUGUGUAAUUGAUUAUGUCUAAUAGUUUGCAAGACAAUUAAGAGAAGAUACCGGAGUUUAGUUCAACAUUUUGCUAAAUUGUAACAGCGUUAUCACAAUAAUAAUAAUUUAAAAAAAAAACAAAGAGCGAUUGUAUUUUUAUCGGAAUAUCGAAGGAAUUUAACAAAUUAUUUUUAAUGAAAAGUU
Long non-coding RNA from Anneissia japonica, 1203 nucleotides. RefSeq lists it as uncharacterized. The transcript is spliced from 4 exons. Lineage: Eukaryota; Metazoa; Echinodermata; Crinoidea; Comatulida; Comatulidae. The record is from RefSeq and is a predicted model, not a curated record.